This 254-nucleotide ribosomal RNA is filed under the name uncultured bacterium. RNAcentral's name for it is "partial 16S ribosomal RNA". It matches the Rfam family "Bacterial small subunit ribosomal RNA", at positions 524 to 776 of the family's 1533-position model. The record is from RNAcentral.
UACGGGGGGAGCAAGCGUUGUUCGGAUUUACUGGGCGUAAAGGGCGCGUAGGCGGUCAGCACAAGUCAAUUGUGAAAUCUCCGAGCUUAACUCGGAAAGGUCAACUGAAACUGUGCGACUAGAGUGCGGAAGGGGCAACUGGAAUUCUUGGUGUAGCGGUGAAAUGCGUAGAUAUCAAGAGGAACACCUGUGGCGAAAGCGGUUCACUGGCCCGACACUGACACUGAGGUGCGAAAGCUAGGGUAGCAAACGGG